This 1206-nucleotide ribosomal RNA is filed under the name Triticum aestivum (bread wheat). RNAcentral describes it as "partial small subunit ribosomal RNA". Lineage: Eukaryota; Viridiplantae; Streptophyta; Magnoliopsida; Poales; Poaceae. The record is from RNAcentral.
UUGAAUUUUCUGUAUGACAGAGAGGUUGCCGUUGUAGAGAAGCCGCCUAAGAAAAUUUGCCAUGGCUUGGGCUCAAACGACUUAGACUCAUCUGGAAGACAAGUUUGGGCAGACCUUACAGACAGCCUGCUUCACCUAAUCAUUGUCCUCUUCAGCUCAUUCCAUGAUUUCCUUGCUGUUACUAGCACCUGCCGCUCUUGGCGUGCUACAAUUUCUUCCUUCCCACCCAUAUAUCACUUCUCCUUCCCACCUCUCUUUGUCAAAACAGGCCUUCAUUAUGCUCGUCGGCAUAUGGGCGACCGCAAUUCCUGCCACAACCCUUUAUCUAACUACAAAUGGCAGCUUCGUGAUCCUGCGAAGACAAAUUUAUCCCUUCGUUGUUCAGCACCCCGACAUACUCCAUAUUAUGUGUGCUAUUUGGGCUGUUCAUAUGGGUAUUUGAUCUUGUACUGUGAGGAACAAUGCUUCCUUGUUGAUGUGUACACUAGUACUAUGGUGAAGCCCCGUAAAUUUCAACGCAGUGACAACUCUAAAAUCUACUAUGGCGUCUUUACGGCUCCUCUUAGUUCGCCCAACUCGUGCCUCCUCCUUUUCUCGAGAAAGUAUAUGUUCCGGUGGCAAGUUGGAACAAAGUCCUGGAUGGAGCACCCUCUCGUUGCUGGACGCAUUCAUCAAAUUGUGUCCUUCAAAGGUCAGAUGUUGGCCAUGGACUCUCUUAUGAAGCUCAAUACUAUUUCCUUGGCACCUCAGCUUGGCAUGCCGGAAGAACCACUUGUGUGGGGAGAGGACAUGACCGCUGGCUUGCUUAAAAAACCAUGGUUGGUGGUCCGUGGUGACAUGCUUCUCAAGGUUGACCUCUCAAUACAUGAUCUCAAAUUCUGCUUUCAAGCCUACCGCCUGGACUUAUCAGUCAGACCCGCUAAGUGGGCGAAGAUGAAGAAGUUGGGAAAUUGGGUUCUCUUUCUUAGCCUUGAUAGGAGGAGCUCUACAUUUUCUUGCUUGAACCCUGAAAGAUGGGACGGGAAGAGUAAUUUCAUUUACGUUCUGCGCAGAUCCAAAGAUUCCAACGAACCUUGGAUUGAGAUAGAGCUUGGUCAGUUCAUGUCCAGGAGAUCCCAUCCCAUUUCAUACAUUCUCGGACGCAAAGGCAAGCAGCUGGAGAGCUUCUGGGUGCUCCCCAGUUUGGUGUAUGGUGUCAACAAGUGA